GCUCAUCAGUUUGGCCAGAAGCGCCCGAGAAAGGUGGAGCUUAAAAGAAAGGAUGAGCAACAGUCCAUAUUCGAGCUACAUGUGCGGUUGGGAUGAUUGGACCUUCCCGAUUUCUGUACCUAGGCAUCUUGAUGGGCCCAGCAUAAGGAGUUAUUCGAAUACGGAAGCCCGCUGACAGACCCAACUAUUUGUCAGGACUCGCGAGCAUAUGCCCACCAGCAUAUUCUCUACCCAAUCUACAUAUUCUCAUUCGGUGAAAUGGAUAUUCUGCCCACCCCCACACCAUAUUGACGUAAACCACCACCAAUAUUUCCUAAUUGCCAAAAACACCCCUGCCUGACAUUCAUGUUCUGGUUGUCAGUUGUCGCGCCAUGGCGUGGGCAAAUUGAUGGAUAUGAUCUAAAAACUAGAGUUAUACUUGAAAAGAAGCAUUUCAAAAUGGUAGUGACUCAUUCGCUCUAUGGAAAGUUUCGAUUAGUCUCGUUUCCGUAUAUAUUCUACUACUCCUAGCGAUUCCCAACAUUUGGGCGGUCAGCACGUGUAUGCCACGUGUACGGUGGAUUUGUUCCUAUUGUCUGUGAAGUGCGUACAAGAUGAUAGUGCAGCAUAGUUUCAGGGCAGCUGUUUCGUUAAGGAGGUGUGUUGGGUUAUGAUGGAACAAGUAAUGGAAGGGAGAAACAGUGGGUUUGGUCCAGAGCCAUUUUCAUCUUCUCUAAAAUGGACGAGUGGAGUUUGAACGAGAGUUUUGGGCUGAAACGGGCAGAGGAGCCUGACCAGUUGGACCAGCCAUUGUACCAGAAAUCUGGCGCAGGUUUUAUUUCAUUGGUUGUUUUUAUUAGAUGCGUAGCUUUUUAGUAUGACUCCAAUGCACUGGAGGAGUAUAGAGAGAGGGCAUUCACAGUAUCUCUCCCACCAUUUAAAGAUGGUGGGAAUCUACACCUACAAUUGUUGAAUGAUGGGAGAUAUGGCACCACCAGCCUCCCCUCAUACACUAAAUAGACACUAUCUUUUUCCAUUUUUGUUAUUUGAAAUUUAAAGUUACACGACAAUUUGGAAAUUGCUUAACAAAUGGUGCCCUUGGAGAGCUUGCAAUAUGAACCUUCUAAAUGUCUCAUUUUCUGCAGUAAAACAAUCGCCACAUCAGUCAGUAAAUCUAAGAUGGCCUGGGAUGUAUCGGUUGUUUUGAUCUGUUUGACGGGAUGAACAUCCAAAACUUGGAUUUUUAUUUUUAUUUUAAUUAGUAGUUCACACAGCAUCUACAAUUUAUUUUAAAACUCAUACCAUGCUUAAUUCAAUACUUGUUCAUUCACAACUCUAAUCCUAAUUCCUAACCAAACUCAACUAGUAACCAACCCUCCCACAAAUACACACUGACCACAUGGUAAGCAGCAUUCUAAGGAUGCGGUUUACAUCGUAGAGAACCUAUGGUGAGUCCCACCAGAUGACUGGUGGGUUCACCCUGCAAGAUAUGUGAAGAUUUGAGUAAGGCAACACUUAAGGUAGUGCCUUUUGCUAUACCAAACUAGGCCUACUAAGCAUUGGCAUCAACCCCACAAAACUAGCCAAAGGAUAGACACUCCUUGCUGCUUAGUAGAUAUUAAUCUAACACUGCAAAGGUUGCCCAUUCUUAAUGCUGUAUAUGUGAGCAUGUUAUGAGGUUCUAGCCGUUCAUCGGGCAUGGUCACAAUGAUUGAGGCGAUCAGAAAUUAAGGCUAGCAGACUUGAGGCUUGAAUGCAGACACUUACCUGUCCAUUUUCACCUCAAAUCCAACAUUUUAGUAUUGUCCCAAGGACCAGAUUUCGGAUGAGAGGUUAUUUAUGGCGAUGUCACUUGAUGAAUUGCUUGAUUUGAAAUUAGGGCCUGUUUGUUUCACCAAUUACUGCAAUGAUUACAAAUUUCUU
Molecule: long non-coding RNA, 1902 nt
Organism: Magnolia sinica
Lineage: Eukaryota; Viridiplantae; Streptophyta; Magnoliopsida; Magnoliales; Magnoliaceae
Exons: 2
Source: RefSeq, a predicted model, not a curated record